Molecule: unclassified non-coding RNA, 149 nt
Organism: Callithrix jacchus (white-tufted-ear marmoset)
Lineage: Eukaryota; Metazoa; Chordata; Mammalia; Primates; Cebidae
Rfam family: Metazoan signal recognition particle RNA
About the family: The signal recognition particle (SRP) is a universally conserved ribonucleoprotein.
Source: Ensembl
GCUGGGCACGGUGGUGCGUGCCUGUAAUCCCAGCUACUCAGGAGGCUGAGGCAGGAGAAUUGCCUGAACCCAGGAGGCUGAGGUUGCGGUGAGCCGUGAUGGCGCCAUUGCACUCCAGCCUGGGUAACAAGAGCAAAACUCCGCCUCAA